UGCUGGUGCUUUACAGGGAUGGAACAGACUCAAAGUCCUUCAAUGUUGUUAACUUGUUGAAUGCCUUGUACACGCUGUUCAACGCCAUCAUUUCCAACUAUGACAUCUAAAAGGUUGAAAGCAUCGACGAUGCCUACAUGUUGGUCUCCUGCCUACUGAUCCGUAAUGGCAGCCGUCAUGCUGGUAUGAUCGCCUCCACUGCAUGGCAUCUCCUGGAGGGCGUUAAUAGUUGAUCAUGCCACACAAACAAGAUGAGAAACUCAAACUCCGCAUCGGUAUUCACUCAGGGCAAAGGUGAAAGCCUGACGUACUGGCUCGAGGGACAUGAUCCAAGCUACAAGAUCGACCAAAUCAAGCCACCCAAACAAAACUUGUAAACAACCAGAAUAUUAUCCCAACAUUAUCUGCAACGCAUUUGGAUCAGCAAUUUUUUGUAAAGAGGUGAUGGCAGAUCUACCAGCUCACUUCACAUCAGAGAGCUCUCUUGAGAAGCACUAUAGAAG
Long non-coding RNA from Patiria miniata (bat star), 503 nucleotides. RefSeq lists it as uncharacterized. The transcript is spliced from 5 exons. The record is from RefSeq and is a predicted model, not a curated record. NCBI's taxonomy places the organism in Eukaryota, Metazoa, Echinodermata, Asteroidea, Valvatida, Asterinidae.